CUAAGGGUGAUUAUUCUGCCA
Molecule: microRNA, 21 nt
Filed under: Medicago truncatula (barrel medic)
Lineage: Eukaryota; Viridiplantae; Streptophyta; Magnoliopsida; Fabales; Fabaceae
Description: mtr-miR2598
Source: miRBase by way of RNAcentral